ACGCCUCACCGCGAAGUAGCCCAGCCCCAGGACUGUGACCAGAGAGGGCAAGGGUCUUGCUGGACGGAAAUAGGCGGUAGCCGCAUUGCUGGCCUCCGACUUCACCAUCCUCUUGAAAAACCCAGACACAGAGUUGGCUGGGAGCUCCCCAGCCGUCCCCGCCCCCAUAUAAGAAAAGCCUGGCUAGCCGGUUUCUCAGGGCCCUGGGCGCCCGCCCAAGACCCUGGCGGACCAGUAUGCUUGCUCUCAUUGCGGAGUCUGGUCCCCUCCCCUCCGCUCCUAGCGCGCGGGAGUCGGGAUUGUGCUUGCACGACUUCCCCCGGCCCGCGGCCUGUGAGCCCAGGUCCUGGGGUGAACCGAGCGCUCGCUCGUUCGUCAGACCGUAGCGCUCCAGCGGCUGUCCUUACUGUGUAGUAGCCAAAGCUGAGGGUGAUGACUGUGAACCAGAACAGACUGCCUCGCUGAAAAGUCACUUGGAACUCUUCUGUGGCAUCUGAAGCAGAUGGACGAAGCCAAGAGGGCCGAGAGUAUCUCAGCACCUAGAAAUGGACAAGGCUGGUUAUUAGAACAAAGAUUUCGCAGGUGGUGAGUCUCAAAGGCGAAGCUGAAUGAUUUGAUAUUUCAUGAAAUUCAGAAAUAAUUUGGAGCUUUUCAAACCUGGGAUAUGGAAGAAACUGACACUCCUGUUCUCUGGGAAGGAUCUCCCAUUAACCAGUCAUAAUGAAGUAAGAACAAGAAGAUGGGGAAGAGGAAGUGUAAAACCGUGGCUUAAAUUUGCCAAGGAUAAGCUGAGUGUACUUCAGCAGUCAUUUGCACAGAAUCCUUAUCCUAAUUUUACAACCAGGGAAAAACUGGCUGGACAGUCUCUUGUCCUGUGUUUGUAAUUGAUAACUGGUUUCAAAAUAAAAGCCAGACCACCACUUAGAGAGAGACACAGAAUGUUCACUGCCAGGGAACUGCAUGAUUCCUCUGCCAAAGGCCACCCAUUUACAAGAAUCCAGGAAAACCAGGUGGAAUCUCCCAAUGAUGACCCUGAGCAGAACUUCUUGUACCCAGGAAGUUCUACUGGGUGGAGCUGGCCACUCUUCCGUGGAGACACAGGGGACUCCCAAUUAACAUGAUGGCUCAAAUAACUGUAGCCUUAUGGAUUAAAAGGAAACUAAGCUGUGAUUUGGAGUAUCCAGGUGAUACAGAAAAUGGCCCUUGUCGAUGUAGAUCAGCAUUAUUUCCUUAUCCUUCUGCAUCUCCUCCUCAGUAUUCUGAAAGGGACAAGCCUGAGAUGGGGGAAAGCCAGCAUGCAAGGCCCUCCCCUUUGUGCUGUGUUCAUGGUGUGCACGGAGAGAGGCAGCAGCAGGAGGAACAGAAAGGUUAUUUUCUUUACUGACUCUUUCAAGGACAUCAGCAGAAUGGUUGGGAAUGUCAUCAUGAGCAGCCUCAGCCUCAGAAUUACCAGGAGAAGCUGGUCUUCCAGGAUCAGGUUCUAAUGUAUAUGAGUCACAGGAUUUAGGGAAGCAGGCACUUUCCCUUCAGUCCCAGCAGCAUGGUUGAUGUUCCCAAGUAAUGGAGAGUCCCUGUGCUCUCAGUUGUGGCACACACCUUUGCAAAUAGUGAUCAGAUCUCCACAAACGCCUCUUGGGUAAGAUAUGCAGCAACAUAGCUGGCUGCAGAGCAACCCAGUUCCCAAAUCCAGCAGCUCUUGGAUGAGAAGUCUGCAAGUGUUUACUGCUGGGACCAGGACUGUGUUUCUAGGAAAUGGUGCUAGGCUUCAGAGAGCAUCAUCCACAGGUCAUCCCACAACCAUCCACACAGAAGCCUGAGGAAAAGGGCUCUGCAGAGCUUGCACAUAAAGAUGCUGAACUCAGGAAGGCUCUGUGAGCUGCUGGUCUCUUCUGGUAGGGCAGCAGUGUCCUGAGAAGGUGGAGCUAGAGUAUGGAGAACAAAACUAACAAGCACCAAGGCAGCAAGCAAGGCAACCCCCAAAUGACAGCAGUUGCCAAAUCCAAAGCAAUCUGUGCUUCAGAAGACAGAGGCUCUGCACAGUCCCUGUCUCAGACAUUGUCUCCUCCUUAGAAGAUACCUAACAACAGCACUGUGGGAGGCUGAGGUGGGUGGAUCACCAGGUCAGGAGAUCAAGACCAUCCUUGAUCUUUAGUAGAGACGGUGAAACACUGUCUCUACUAAAAAAUACAAAAAAAAAUUAGCUAGCCGUGGCGGCGGGCACCUGUAGUCUCAACUAUUUGGGAGGCUGAGGCAGGAGAAUGGCCUGAACCCGGGAGGCAGAGCUUGCAGUGAGCUGAGAUUGCGCCACUGCACUCCAGCCUGGGCAACAGAGUGAGACUCCAUCUCAAAAAAAAAAAAAAAAAAAAAAAAAAAAGAUACCUAACAAGCAGUACAAGAAUAUGAAGGACCCCACUGCCCAGACUUUGUAUGGAGGGGUGUCUAAGGUGGCUACAGCAAAGCUGUCAUCUCCAUCGACCGGGACAGCAUCUCCAGCCAUGAUGUGUGGCCUGCUGGAACAGCAGCCAUGUGUCCUUUCACAGACAGCCCACCAAAGCUCUGACUGUGAAGGACAUCCCAACAUCAGCCUAGCCUGCAUACACUUAAGGCAUAGAAUCACCUGAGGCUUCUCCGUUGAAGACAGGGACUCCCGAUGGAGUUGCAGCCCCAGCUUUGCACUGUAAAGAGCCCCAGGGGGCUUCUGUGCUAGAGCAGGUGUGCAGACCCCUCCUCACCCCCUUCACUGAGAGCUGCUGCCUGGAACCAGUGUUUUGACUGAGUCACCUCUGGACGUGGGCCCACAAGAUCUGAGAGUGCCCAGACGAGAAGUUGAAUGCCUUGUGUUGACCUGAGUGUUUGGAAAAAAGCCCCAAACUUUGAAACAAUUUUCAUAAUUUUGAGCUUCAGGAUGUGGAAUCACUUCUCAAGUAUUCUGGAGUUCUGUCCAUCAGAGCGGGUCCUGCCAAUGCUGCCCUGUGCAGCGCUUCAGGCUGCAUCCCUCCCACUAGGGGGCGCCUUUCACAUAGUGGCGCCUGCCUUCUAGAGGAGCAACAUUUCCUGAACUGCAGGGUUCCCUCGGGGCUUUGUGUAAAACACAUCCACUGCAUAGAAUUUGUGUUAUUUCCAUUUUGUUUUCUUGACAAUAUUUAAUUAAUUACAAAAUGAUGUAUGUUAUGAUAGUUUAAGCAAUACAGAGAGUAACCAAACAAAAGCUUGGUCUUUUAUUCUCGCACUCUGAAUUUACAGUCCUGAAAACUCUAAACUCAUCAUAUAAUCUAUAUUGUAAAGACUUUGAUAAUCCCUUCCCUUGCCUUUCCUUUCCCCAUUCCCCCUUCCCCUUCCUUCUUCUACAUUGUAUGAUGUUUUUCAUAUUUACAUUCUAACCAAUUGUGUCAUGUGAUACUAAUUUGCAGAAUAAAGCAUGUUUUGCACAUAUUUCCAAGUCAUAUAACAUGCAGACAUACUUCAUUUUGUAAAUAUCUUCCUUCUCUUACUAUAAGAUUGAGAAUAGGUAAAGAGCAACUCUCCAAUGCAGGUGAUGAGUGUGAUUUGCACUAUCACUUUGGACAGCCAAUUGGAAUAUUUAUUGAAGUCAUAGAUGCCCAGCAAUUCUGUUACUGGAUGUGUCUCAUAGACAAACUCUUGGACAUUCUUAUAGAACACUGAGCCCAAAGAAGACACAUCAUAUAAUGUAAGAAGCUAGGACAGCUUAAAAAAAAAAGGCCUAGAUCUGUGUAAUUGUGUGAGUGUUCUCGGACAUACUGUUUGUAAAAAAUCGAGUUAUUGAGUAGUUUGAUAAUAUGAUAAUCAUGAAAAUAAAGGAUAAAGCAGCGAGUAAAAAAAAAAAAAAA
This 3848-nucleotide long non-coding RNA is filed under the name Homo sapiens (human). Its description in RNAcentral is "TMEM254 antisense RNA 1, transcript variant 3 (TMEM254-AS1)". The record is from RNAcentral. Lineage: Eukaryota; Metazoa; Chordata; Mammalia; Primates; Hominidae.